GAAGAAGGGUAAAUGCCACACAAAGAAGUUACAAGCUAUUGAGAAAAAAUUGCAAAUGCUUAAGGAAAACCUAAAGCCUGUUCCUUUUUUCCCUUCAAAGAUUCUUGAUUUUGAUAGGCAUGAGAAGUUACUGAGGCGUUUGGGGUUGUGGGAUUUUGUACAUAUAGAGUUUGAUAGAGAUAUAAGGGUGGAUUUGAUUGCACAGUUGAUUGCUACUUAUGAUUCUAAGUUGAGGGCUAGUUAUGUUAAUGAUUUUAGAAUUGCGGUUAAUAGGGCUGAUUUAGGGCGGGCGCUUAAGCUGCCUUUGAAGAAGGACAAAGGGAGUGUUGCUGUGGUUGAUGGUAUGGAAGUGGAUGCUGAUCCAUUGACUGAGGAGUCGAUAAGCUUUCUUGAGAACUUUGUGUCAAUUUGGGUGCUUUUGCAUGAGGACGCGUGGAUAAUGCCUAAUGAGGUCUUAAGUUGGACUAAGGCUAUAAAAGAUGGGCACCCUGAGAAAGUGGAUUGGGCUGGAUUGUUCUGGUUCAUGGUGGAGAAGGAACUGACACAAGGGGACCAAUUAGUGGACUGUUAUUAUGCUGCACAUUUGCAAUAUUUGAUAAAGUCACAGCGUGAGCAGGUGUUGUAUAGUGAAGAACCAGAAAAGGUGGAGUCUGAAGCUGAUGUGAAGGAGGAGGAGGAUUGUGGUAACGAGGACAAUGCAAGAGUCGGUGGGUCAAUCGAAGCUCAAGAAUUGGAUGGAGCUUUAGGGGAGGAACUGAGUAUUGAGUUGACGUUGGGUCAGGAUCUUGGCCAGAAGCAAGAGGUGAAGGAUGUGGAGAUGAUGGAUGUUGAGGAACCCAAGGAAGAGAAGGAGGUGGUGGAAGAGGAAGAGAAACAGUGGCUUUUUGAUGAAAGAAAAGAUGCUAACGAGCCUUUGUUACAGAGAUGUAAGAUGCAGGAAGCAGUGUCUUUGGAUAACGAUGAGGAGAAGAAAGAAAACCAUGAGUUGGAAGAUGAGAAUGAGAAUGAGAAUGACAACGACACGAACAAUGACAAUGACAAUGACAAUGAUAAUGUGAAUGAUGAUGAUGUUGAGGAAGAGGAUGAAGGAGCAGAGAGGCAUGAGGUUGAAGAUGAAUUUGAUGUUAUUCCUAGUAAUGGUACUCUUGUUGGGGAUGGGAUGACAGGAAAUUUACUGCAAACGAUGGAAAGUACACAGAUUGGAUUUACUUCACAGGGGCAACUUCAUGAUCAGUCUUCAGUUGAGCUUCUUGCUUCUAGAGAUGAGAUGCAUACAGGUGGCCACUUUUUUGGCAGUGGAAGUAAGAGAGAGAUGGAGAUUGAACCUGAUAUGGCUCAUCAUUCUCUCCAUGGCAGCAGCAAGAGGUUGCGAAUUGAGGGGGAAUGGGACGAGAAGCCAUUAGAUUUUGGAUCAUGCAUGGAGCAGAUGCAGCACCUAAUGAUGAAGGCUAGGAUGAUGUAUGAAGCAAAGGAACAGAAUGAGGAUCAAUUAAACAUAAACCAACAAAUUUUUCUUAGUGAAGUGCAUAAAAGGGACAGCGUAAUUGAUCACUUGCAUAAGUCUAAAUGUGAGGAAAUACAAAAAAGGGAUGCAGAUAUUUGUCGUCUUGAACGGGAGCUUUUUAUGAUGGGAAAUAUAUUGGAUGGUUACAGGAAGGCAUUGAAGGAAACCCAGAAACAGUUUUCUGAGUAUAGGAAGAAAUUCCAGCUGCCUGAAGAACCAUACUACAAAGAUGCUGGUCCUGGAGGUCUAAUGUUGAGCUCUGCUGAAAUGGAAAAGCUACGCCUCAAGCAAGAGGAAGAAUUUCGAUCCAAUUGCUUGAUCUUGGAACAAAAAGCAAAAGAAGCAGAGGAAGAAUAUGCUGGUCAGUUUGAGAAUUUUAUGGGUAAGGUUCAGAUGCUGGAUAAGAGGUUGAUAGGCCUUGAGGAUGUAGUGAAGGACCUCAGAAACAUGAGUCCAAAAAGUAAAGUUCCAGAAAGUGAGGAUAAAAUUUCAGAAACUCCCGACUGCCCUGCAGAUGAAUGAUUUGCUUUGCCAAAUCUUCAGUUCCAUGGUUGAAAAAAUGCAGGAUUUUUUGCAGAUGUUUAGCUUACAUUCGACAUGGUGCUUCUUAUAUUACUCGCCGGAAGGUGGUGUUAUGCAAGCAUUUUUGGAGAAGGCUUACUAUAGCUCAGGCUGGUUUAUCUAUGUUUUUGUUUUGUGGCCUU
RNAcentral lists this unclassified non-coding RNA (2208 nucleotides) under Hevea brasiliensis (rubber tree). The record is from RNAcentral. Lineage: Eukaryota; Viridiplantae; Streptophyta; Magnoliopsida; Malpighiales; Euphorbiaceae.